RNAcentral lists this ribosomal RNA (460 nucleotides) under uncultured bacterium. RNAcentral's name for it is "partial 16S ribosomal RNA". It matches the Rfam family "Bacterial small subunit ribosomal RNA", at positions 338 to 795 of the family's 1533-position model. The record is from RNAcentral.
CCUACGGGAGGCAGCAGUGAGGAAUAUUGCUCAAUGGGCGCAAGCCUGAACCAGCCAAGUCGCGUGAGGGAUGACGGUCCUAUGGAUUGUAAACCUCUUUUGUCGGGGAGCAAAUCCCGCCACGUGUGGCGGGAAGCAGAGUACACUAAGAAAAAGCAUCGGCUAACUCCGUGCCAGCAGCCGCGGUAAUACGGGGGAUGCGAGCGGUAUCCGGAUUUGUUGGGCUUAAAGGGUGAGUGGGCGGAAGGUUAAGUCAGCGGUAAAAUGUCGGUGCUCAACACCGGCCUGCAGUUGAAACUGGUCGUCUUGAGUGCGCGAGAGGUAUGCGGAAUGCGUGGUGUAGCGGUGAAAUGCAUAGAUAUCACGAAGAACUCCGAUUGCGAAGGCAGCAUACCGGCGCUCAACUGACGCUGAGGCACGAAAGCGUGGGGAUCGAACAGGAUUAGAUACCCCAGUAGUC